GCCCAAAUCUCCCCCCUUUUACGUGUCUGAUCUUCGCUCCACAGCAACCAAUACAUCAUCAUCAUCGGAACGAAAAUGCUUGCUCGUUUGGCGACUCAACGUCUACUCGAGAUCCGUCAGCUUUUCGGCAAAUUCCACAGACUUCUCGAUCCCUUCGACUUGCCCUAAACUACCACCUUGAUAGUCCG
Camellia sinensis is the source of this 188-nucleotide non-coding RNA. The record is from RefSeq and is a predicted model, not a curated record. Lineage: Eukaryota; Viridiplantae; Streptophyta; Magnoliopsida; Ericales; Theaceae.